Molecule: non-coding RNA, 3171 nt
Organism: Notechis scutatus (mainland tiger snake)
Lineage: Eukaryota; Metazoa; Chordata; Lepidosauria; Squamata; Elapidae
Source: RefSeq, a predicted model, not a curated record
GCCGCGCGCCGGCAGUGACGUUUUUUUUGCUUGCCGGCGAGGGUCGCUAUUUCCUCCGCUUCGAAGAAGUCGUGCGAGUCUCUUUGCCAAGGUGUCCGGAGGCUCAGCUAUGGUGACAGGCGGUCAAAUAGGCCCUGCUGGCGGGACUUCCGGCGCGGUUACCCCUGAAGGUUUGCGCGGCUGGAUCCGAGGAGCUUAUCGCUUUGCCACAGACCGCAAUGACUUCCGCAGAAACCUCAUAGUUAAUCUGGGACUCUUUGCAGUAGGUGUCUGGGUAGCCAGAAACUUAACAGACAUUGAUUUGAUGGCACCACAACCUGUUGCAUAAUAGGCCCCAUGUUUAUUAUUCAAUGCAUGGAAUUUCCUUUCAGGAAUUCUAGGGCUCAAAUGCAGCAAACUGACAACUGGCUAUAUCCUUGGAAAAACUGAUUUUACAAAUCUGAACUUCCAUCCUCUAUAUGAAAAAAUAGCAAGAAUUGGAGAAAACAAAGACAAUAUUUUAGCUCUACAUCAUUCUUCACUAUGCUUAAUUUUUUUGGCAGCAUUGGGUUUUAUACUCAAAUAAUAAUAGAAAACAGUAUUCUAUUGUUGUUUUUGCUAAAAUGUUUUUGAUAUAUAUAUAUAUGUAUAUACAUUAUUUUGCGGAAUUGAACUGUUAGAUUCUGACCUGAAAUGUGAAAUAAAGACAUGCCAGUGCACUGAACUUUUUUCUUUUUUAAUAGGAAAUUUCAGCUUACAAAACAAGGUAAAAAGAGUAGAUUUACAAAAUCAUAAAAACAUGAUUCAUAUUUCACUUUUAAAGAAGUAACAAGCCCCAGUCCUGUGUUUAAGUAGGACUAUUAACUAUUGAACGGAAAAAAUACAUUUUAAAAAGGCCUAGGUGAGGGUUAAUUAUGGACAACUUUCAGCCGGUAUAACAGUUGUGUGGUGCUUUGAGUUGAUUUAAGUUAUACAUGAAAAAGAAUUCUGUUGCAUAGCAUUUUGAUUCCUUGAAUUGCUUUAUGUGCCUUUCAAGUUAACUGGAAACUAUUUAUGAAAGAUGCAUUUUUUUAAAGUUGAAAUGUUUUGCCUCUUUUGGAAGAUUGCCACUGCCUUUGCAAGACAUCAUUUAAUAUGUUAGCAAAAGCAGAAUGAUUUUUCAUCAGAAGUAUUUUUCAAAAUAUGGAUAAAAGACAGCUUAAUCCACAAGAUACACAAGCCAAUAAAUCUAUCAGUAGUCAUCAUAGACAAAAUUAGAGAACAAAAGGACAUAGAAUGUAAUCCUGUCAGAGCUGUAUUUAAUGGACAGAAAUGUUUCCAUCUUUGUGUCACUAAAGGUUCUUGCAUUAAAAAAUAUUUUAAAGCCACCUAAACAUAUCAGAUUAGAUGAAGUUGAAAAACAGAUUGACAGACUGCUGGAUAUUGACAGGUCUGUCCUCUUUUAUUCACUUCCAUUCUACAAAACCGUGUAGAAGAGGCAGUAUCAUAUACACCGCAAAUGUAGAAUAAGACCGCUUCAGUAAUUAAGAUAUAAGUAGUAAAAAGUGAAGCUGUAAAUUACUACUCAUAACUCUUCCCAAAGACAAAAAUGUAACAAUUUUUGCUACUCUUAAAGUUAGAAUAAUUUAGCAGUAAGAAAAAAGUAGAGAAUCCUUGCAUUUAGGAAAUACGUUUAAAAUCAACUUUUCAGUGUGAAAUAGGGUUUUUUUGGUGUCAAAAUAUAUCAAUUCUCAGAGAAGACCUAUUGAAUUUUGUAUACUGAAAACCCACAAUCUAAUCCAAGCAUUCAGUAUACUUUAGGUAAAAGCAAGUUCUAUACAAUUUCAAAAAACAAGUAGAAAUAAAGCGUACUUCUUAAUUUUAGUCUCAUACGGCUAAUAUACUAAAUUUUACAUUUUAUAGAAAUAAAUUCUCUCUGAGCUGAUUGGAAUGGAAAAAAAAUUAAGUUUGUUUACUGGCAGAAUACUUUCUGCUGGAAAUACUUUCUGCUGGAAUAAAAACAUCAACUCUAAACCCAAACUGCUUCAACUACCACUUCACUUACUAGAAGUUAAUUUUUAAGUCUCCCAAUUGUUAAUAAUGUAUUCUGCAGAACUGAUAAUGUAUAUGCAUUGGGAUUUCCUAAGUGGUGGUAAACAUUUUACUAAGAUCUCUAUUCAUCUUAUAUUUUGCUGGAUUCCUAAAUAAUAAAAUUGAUUUUCCUUAAAUGUAGAAUUAUAGCAGCACUAGGAACAAGUUUAUGUUUGUCUUUAGUUCCAAUCAUUUCAAUAUAUGUUGUAUUGGAUUUGUAAGGAAUUUUACAAGACACUACGUAUCAGGAGUAUUACAUAGCAUCCACAAUAGUAUAAUUUUACUAUUAAAUGUAUAGAUGUAAUAAAUUCUUUCGCCUUACUGCUAGGCUGAAUAUAUAGAAGAGGCCAUUUUAAUUUUACUAAGAAAUAGUGGCAAUUGAGAGGUGAAUUUUUAGAUUCAACUGAUAAUGCAUGAGUAUAUCCAAGCCUUUCUGUUCAAAUGAAACAUUUUAACACUUGGUAGUGUAUUUAACAUCUCCAUUUAUAAUUUCAUUUAAAGUAAAUUUGAAGAGCACAGUUCAGCCUGCAUCAGCAUUGUUGUAUGCUCUGCAUUACAGCAGUCUUGAGCCUAUUGAGAGAUGCUACAACUCAAAAUAGGCAUAUUACAGCUAUGCAAUAAUAACCAUGAAUAAUCUUAUUCAAAGUACUGUAUUCAAGAAUGCAUUUUCAGUUAUUAGAAAAUUAGAUGUCAGGUCUAAUUUCAUGAAAUAGUAUUCAGUAUAUGGUUGAUUUGUUAAUCAUUUUUAUACUGAAACAUAUAUAUGCCCGAUACAUAUUAUUGAAGUAUUAUCUGCAUGAAGAUAUGUUGAGUCAUUGUCAUCUUUAACAGAAGUAAGAGAAAGAACAUCAUGGCAAAAGAGAACCAUUAUCAUGCAAGGCACCAGUCAGUAGUUUAAGAGCCUUUUUCAAACUGCUUUGUCAAUAAGCUGCUCUAGGCAUUCUUACCAAUUGUAUUUUAAUUACGAAUUACUUGCUUAAAGAGGAAUAAUCCUAUCUAAAAAAAAUUAAAAAUAACCACAAAGAUUUAACACAAAACCCAAAAUGAUCUACUUUUGAGCAAACCAUUUGCAUCAUUAGAAAUACAGUAUUUAGACAUAUACAAUAAAAUACAUCAAGUUGC